Molecule: long non-coding RNA, 482 nt
Organism: Helianthus annuus (common sunflower)
Lineage: Eukaryota; Viridiplantae; Streptophyta; Magnoliopsida; Asterales; Asteraceae
Exons: 3
Source: RefSeq, a predicted model, not a curated record
UCGCCCGAACUUGACCGGCCAUUGUCGGAAAAAUCAAACAUGAAGGGGGUACUAUGUAAAUAUCCAAAGUUCAAUAUAUAAAGCUCCUUUAUGGCUCAUUUUAGCAGAUUUUCUCUCUCAAGUUAGAGAGAGAAAUAAGAGAGAGAUAGAACUAGAGAAAGAUGGGUGGCCGCGGUGGCGUUUAGCGGCAAUUCGCGGUGGCCGGUGGUGGCCGGAGGUGGUCGGAGUUGUGGGUUUCAACCUGGAACCAAUUAGGGAUGCUAUGAACGUAAUGGAUCAUGUCAAGGUGGGUGGAUGCAUGGAAGGCUAACAGAAUGGAUGCGAGGAAGCAAGUACGAAACGGACGCUUAAGGUUACACGGACAACAUUAUCAUCAUGAAGAACAAGCGGAUAAAGAUCGAGAUAAAGAGCAUGGAUUGUACGUGUAACACCUCGAAAAUUUACGUCCAAUAAUGUAUUGACACGUGUCAUAGGCUUUGCAU